UAUAAGUGUAAUGAUUUUACCAAAUUAUUAGUAGCUAUGUUCUUUAAAAUUAAAGAUUUUGGCGGUACUUUAGUCUUUUCAAAGGAACCUGUUCUAUAAUUGAUAGUCCACGAAGAAAUUGUACUUGUUUUAAGUAAUUUGUAUACCGUCGUAGUUAAAUAUUUUAUAAGAAAAAGAAUAUUUAAAAUCUUUUAUUAGAAAAGAAAUCAGAUCAAGGUGCAGUUUAUAAAUAAGAAGAAAUGGGUUACACUAAAAUUAUUUACUAUGAAUUAGGAUUUGAAAUUUCCUAUAAAAGUGGAUUUGAAAGUAAUUUAGAAUAAAUUUUCAAGAUGAUUUUAGCUCUAAAGUAUGU
Molecule: ribosomal RNA, 352 nt
Filed under: Akalyptoischion atrichos
Lineage: Eukaryota; Metazoa; Arthropoda; Insecta; Coleoptera; Latridiidae
Description: partial 12S ribosomal RNA
Source: RNAcentral